UACGAAGGGGGCUAGCGUUGCUCGGAAUCACUGGGCGUAAAGGGUGCGUAGGCGGGUCUUAAGUCAGGGGUGAAAUCCUGGAGCUCAACUCCAGAACUGCCUUUGAUACUGAGGAUCUUUGGAGUUCGGGAGAGGUGAGUGGAACUGCGAGUGUAGAGGUGAAAUUCGUAGAUAUUCGCAAGAACACCAGUGGCGAAGGCGGCUCACUGGCCCGGUACUGACGCUGAGGUGCGAAAGCGUGGGGAGCA
Molecule: ribosomal RNA, 248 nt
Filed under: uncultured bacterium
Lineage: Bacteria
Description: partial 16S ribosomal RNA
Rfam family: Bacterial small subunit ribosomal RNA
Source: RNAcentral